This 288-nucleotide ribosomal RNA is filed under the name uncultured bacterium. RNAcentral's name for it is "partial 16S ribosomal RNA". It matches the Rfam family "Bacterial small subunit ribosomal RNA", at positions 333 to 613 of the family's 1533-position model. The record is from RNAcentral.
GUGGGCCUACGGGAGGCAGCAGUAGGGAAUUUUCGUCAAUGGGCGCAAGCCUGAACGAGCAAUGCCGCGUGAACGAGGAAGGUCUUCGGAUCGUAAAGUUCUGUUGAAGGGGAAAAAGAGCGGAGAGAGGAAAUGAACUCCGAUUGAUAUUACCCUUCGAGGAAGUCACGGCUAACUACGUGCCAGCAGCCGCGGUAAUACGUAGGUGGCGAGCGUUAUCCGGAAUCACUGGGCGUAAAGAGCGCGUAGGCGGGAUAGCAAGUCAGAUGUUAAAUCCCAUGGCUUAAC